RNAcentral lists this non-coding RNA (26 nucleotides) under Mus musculus (house mouse). Lineage: Eukaryota; Metazoa; Chordata; Mammalia; Rodentia; Muridae. The record is from RNAcentral.
UUACAUUGUGUGAGGUGGUGGGUGGU